AUGGCGGACACAAGAGCCAAAGUCCAGAUCACAGUCGAUCGAGUGGAAAAAGAAGUUGCAGAUCUGCGGGCAGAGGUGGAAGGCUUACAAGAAUUGAAGCAGGAGGUAACUAAGCUUCGAUCAGAGAUGGUGACGAUGCCCAAGGUGGAAGCAAAGUUGUCGGAAAUGAAUGAAGGGAUUCAACAGACCCUGCAGUUGAUUUUGCAACAGAUGAACAUCAACAGCCAGAAAACAGAGAGAGUCACUCCAGAUCCUAAAGCAACAGAACAUCCUGACCAGACUAAGGCGAGUGAUCAGGUACCAGUUGCUAGUAUAGGCAAGACCACAGCAUCAGUAGAACCAGUGGUUCGAAAUCUGGAAAAGGAGUUCAAGAUAUCAGGAAAACUCCCAAUGACUAGCCUUGUGGGUGUGACUACUGAUCUGCCACACUCCCAGUUAAUGUCAGAAGGUACAAGAGUAAGCAGUGAAAGGCAACAAGAGAUAGGAGGAAUGGGACAAGGCCAAAAUCAUCAAGCAAAUCCAAGUGCCACAAUACAGGCACACACUUUGGGGUUUGCAGGAAAUAUUGGAUAUUUUGCUCCUAUAAGUGCUCCUUUGUUUUCUCCUCCUCAUACUUACAACCCUGUCACUGGUCAGUACAUUAAUAUGACAACAACUGCUCAAGGAGUCUCCCCUGUGUAUCAAGCAGUGGGGAACUUGUAUGAUAUGCAGAGAAAUCAAUAUGCAACUCAACUAGGUGGGCCUUCUUAUUUUGCUGAAGUAGUGCUAAAAGGACCCAGGUUGGAAAUUCCUUUGUUCAGUGGAGAUGAUCCUAUAGGCUGGUUAAUAGCUUGUGAAAAGUUCUUUGACAUGUCUGGGACACCUUAUGAGCAAUUGGUUAAUUUAGCAACAGGACAUCUGCAAGGAAGAGCAUCCAAUUGGUUGAAAAACAUAUGUGUGCCAUGGCAAAUGAUCACUUGGCAACAAUUUUGUCAGAUGAUAGCUGAUAGAUUUUCAGAAGCAAAUGUGCAUGAAGCUGUGGAAUUACUGAAAAACAUACAGCAGACAAAUACAGUGGCACAGUAUAUUGACAACUUUGAACAGUGUGUUGCCUUGGUGAAAAGAGACCAUCCUUGUUUACAAGAGAAUUUCCUCCUCAGCUGUUUCAUUGGGGGGUUAAGAAGUGAUAUUAAACAUGAGGUGUGUGGACAAAAACCAACUGGUAUUAUUCAAGCAUACUGGUAUGCCAAGGUGUAUGAGAAAGCUGCAGCAGCAAGGAAAGUGCAAAACACUCCAGUAUAUAAGACCAGGCCAUACCAAAACCCUUAUAGAAACUCUAGCAAUCCUAUGCAAGUGCAAAUUCCUCCCCAAGAGAAAUACAAUGUUCCAUUCCCUAAAGAUGCUAGGGCCUGUUGGUAUUGCAGAGAGCCAUGGACUAGGCAACACAAAUGUAAAAUUGGGAAGACAAUACACAUCUUACAAGAAAUAGAAGAUGAGGAAGAUAGUGAUAAUACUGAGGAUAGUGCCAGUCAAGAACAAGUGUAUCAUACAGCCCCAAAUACUCCUGACAAAGAAAAGCCCAGUGAAGGGACUGUAGACAAACCUGCACAAGCUAUGCAUAUUUCAGUGCAUGCAGUAGAAGGAACUCCUGGGGCAAACACUUUCUCCUUGAUCAUAGAAAUUGCAGGCAAAAGAGCAACAACUUUGUUUGAUAGUGGAUCUUCAGAUACUUUCAUUAGCACUGAGUUUGCUAUUAAAAGCAAUUGUCACCAACAGCCAAUGCAACCCAGGAAAGUGACUGUUGCUGGGGGAGGAAAACUAAUAGCAAAGUCCAAAGUUCCAGAUAUGAACUUCAGCAUUCAAGGCCACACUUUCUGCAGUAGUUUUAAAGUAUUGGACUUACAGGCAUAUGAUAUAAUCUUGGGGGCUGAUUGGAUCUAUCAGUACAGUCCUAUUUCUUUGGACUUAGUGGAGAGGAUUUUAAUUGUCACAAAACAAGGGCAACCAGUGACACUAUUUGACCACUCCAUUCCCAAAAAAGAAGUGUAUGGUGUCUGCAAUGAGAAUGGAAAAAUUACUCAAGAAAGGAGUAAAUGGGAUAUAUCUUACAGAUUCAGGAGAUGCAAAAUGAAGAUAAUACAGUAA
Molecule: ribosomal RNA, 2124 nt
Filed under: Triticum aestivum (bread wheat)
Lineage: Eukaryota; Viridiplantae; Streptophyta; Magnoliopsida; Poales; Poaceae
Description: partial small subunit ribosomal RNA
Source: RNAcentral